AUGAAAAUCAUCAGUUGGAACUGCCGGGGGCUCGGGAAUGGCCUGGCAGUUCGAUCUCUCCUCGAGUUGGGGAGAGUGGAGGAUCCCGAUGUGCUGUUAUUGGCGGAGACUAGACUCACAGAGAAGGGGUUGGAGAGUUUUCGGUGGAAGCUAGGACUUGCUAACUUGUGUGCAUGGAACCCAGUCGGGAGGAGCCGAGGGGUUGCAAUGUUCUGGCGUCGAGGGCUUGAUGUAUCUCUCCGUUCGUAUGGGAGGAGGCAUGUAGAUGUGGAUGUGAAGGAGGAGGAUGGCUCAGUCUGGCGCUUGACAAGUGUUUAUGGGGAGUCGGCUACGGAGAGAAAGAAAGAAACGUGGAGAAGACUUCGACUUCUCAAGCAGCGACACCAGCAGGAUCGUCCAUGGCUAUGUCUUGGAGACUUCAAUGAAAUUAUGUCCGGUAUAGAGAAGGUGGCACUACUAGGAAAAGGGCUACUAAUGGCGCAUCACUAG
Molecule: ribosomal RNA, 489 nt
Filed under: Triticum aestivum (bread wheat)
Lineage: Eukaryota; Viridiplantae; Streptophyta; Magnoliopsida; Poales; Poaceae
Description: partial small subunit ribosomal RNA
Source: RNAcentral